UAUCUCAAACUCUGUCAUGGUGAAAUUCAGCUGUAUUCUAUGAAUGAAACGACUGUGUUGAUGGAGCGGAAUAAUUUUCUGCAAUUAAUACCUCAAUUCUGAAUCUUUUCUAAACAUAAACAUAUUGUAUGGCCUCAGAGUUUGUACCUGAAAUUGGCAGCUGCUGUUAUUUAAACUCUUCUUCUGGAUUAUGUUUUUGAUAUUUCACUACAUCCAUUUGGGAUUCACCAGACUGUGGUAAUGUUACAUGCACUGCCAGAUUGACGAGGAUGCAAUCUCACAAUUGCUGACUGCAAACAAGAAGUUAAGCUGAGGGCCAGAGUGAGAUACACAACAUGUGGGUUUGACACUGCAGCAUGAACAGGGUCACCAGUGCUGUAAGGAGAGAGAUUAUGAGAUGAGAGGAAAUCAUGCUAACUUGCAGUAAAAACUCCACAACCCACUUCACAUACACAAUUAAUAAUUAGCUGCUGAUGUGUGGGAUGAUUUAGUUUCAAGCCAAACUAACACAUUUCUGCCAUUUGUACUUUUCAGUAUGUUUCAAGUGAAUCAGCUUUAUUGAUUGUCAGUCAUCUGUCGGUGCCAAAAUCAAUGCUUUUUCUUGUUAUAUAAUAAUAAUUUUAUUUAGUUUUGCCACAGACCUAGUGCAUUCAUGUGCAAUAUAUUUCAAUUAUUACUUUAAUUUGAACUGCUUUAUAUUUUCUGACCAUGACCGAUAUGAAUAAUGCCAUAUCUGUACUCUGAAUGUGAUUUCAUGAACAAAUCAAAUUUGUGAUUGUAACCUGAUAUCAUGUGUCAAGGCCUCAAAGUGAAGGGUCAUUUCUCAGGCACAGGAACUAGAGUAAAAGUUUUAACUGUUCAAUAAACUACACAGUGACUGCACUCACCAUGGCCGGAUUUACCAUUAUGCUUGAUUGGGCUGCAGCCCAUGGGUCCCCACCUUGUAGGGGACCCCGCCUUUACAAGUUUCUGUUUGUUUGAUUUGUUCAGUUAUAUACCAGUCAGAAAUUAUUAGAUGCAUUUACACUGUGCACACGAGGGCUAACAGCUUCGCCAAUCAAACAGCACAAACUGGUAUUUAUUAUUAUUCCACAUAGAAGAAGGACAAACAUACUGCAUCUGCAGCAAUUAAUUUGUGAUCACAUAGCUACUUUACACAGCUCCAUUAAUCCUUCAGCCCAAAAGAGCACAUAUUUAGAAAGACAAUGAUACAUUUUCAUAUGUUCACACCUCAUUUCUUUACAGAGGAUGAUUACUGAUUCUAUAUUAUAUUAAUGUUCCACUAAAUUAUGCGAUCUGAAGAGUUUUGAGUGCUCUAUCCCAUCUCACUGCCA
This is a long non-coding RNA of Cyprinus carpio (common carp), 1334 nucleotides long. RefSeq lists it as uncharacterized. The transcript has 3 exons. NCBI's taxonomy places the organism in Eukaryota, Metazoa, Chordata, Actinopteri, Cypriniformes, Cyprinidae. The record is from RefSeq and is a predicted model, not a curated record.